AGAUUGAACGCUGGCGGCAGGCCUAACACAUGCAAGUCGAGCGGAAACGAGUUAUCUGAACCUUCGGGGAACGAUAGCGGCGUCGAGCGGCGGACGGGUGAGUAAUGCCUAGGAAAUUGCCCUGAUGUGGGGGAUAACCAUUGGAAAUGAUGGCUAAUACCGCAUAAUGCCUACGGGCCAAAGAGGGGGACCUUCGGGCCUCUCGCGUCAGGAUAUGCCUAGGUGGGAUUAGCUAGUUGGUGAGGUAAGGGCUCACCAAGGCGACGAUCCCUAGCUGGUCUGAGAGGAUGAUCAGCCACACUGGAACUGAGACACGGUCCAGACUCCUACGGGAGGCAGCAGUGGGGAAUAUUGCACAAUGGGCGCAAGCCUGAUGCAGCCAUGCCGCGUGUGUGAAGAAGGCCUUCGGGUUGUAAAGCACUUUCAGUCGUGAGGAAGGUAGUGUAGUUAAUAGCUGCAUUAUUUGACGUUAGCGACAGAAGAAGCACCGGCUAACUCCGUGCCAGCAGCCGCGGUAAUACGGAGGGUGCGAGCGUUAAUCG
This 542-nucleotide ribosomal RNA is filed under the name Vibrio campbellii ATCC BAA-1116. Its description in RNAcentral is "SSU rRNA". It matches the Rfam family "Bacterial small subunit ribosomal RNA", at positions 26 to 547 of the family's 1533-position model. Lineage: Bacteria; Pseudomonadati; Pseudomonadota; Gammaproteobacteria; Vibrionales; Vibrionaceae. The record is from RNAcentral.